CCUACGGGAGGCAGCAGUGGGGGAUAUUGCACAAUGGGGGGAACCCUGAUGCAGCGACGCCGCGUGGGUGAAGGAGCGUUUCGGCGCGUAAAGCCCUAUCGGCAGGGAAGAAGGAGGACGUUACCUGACUCAGACGCCCCGGCUAACUACGUGCCAGCAGCCGCGGUAAUACGUAGGGGGCAAGCGUUAUCCGGAUUUACUGGGUGUAAAGGGGGCGCAGACGGCAGCGCAAGCCAGGAGUGAAAGCCCGGGGCCCAACCCGGGGACGGCUCAUGGAACUGCGCGGCUGGAGUGCAGGAGAGGCAGGCGGAAUUCCUGGUGUAGCGGUGAAAGGCGUAGAGAGCAGGAGGAACACCGGUGGCGAAGGCGGCCGGCUGGACUGCGACUGACGUUGAGGCCCGAAAGCGUGGGGAGCAAACAGGAUUAGAUACCCCUGUAGUC
Molecule: ribosomal RNA, 441 nt
Filed under: uncultured bacterium
Lineage: Bacteria
Description: partial 16S ribosomal RNA
Rfam family: Bacterial small subunit ribosomal RNA
Source: RNAcentral